RNAcentral lists this ribosomal RNA (508 nucleotides) under Conus floridulus. Its description in RNAcentral is "partial 16S ribosomal RNA". It matches the Rfam family "Bacterial large subunit ribosomal RNA", at positions 1823 to 2598 of the family's 2925-position model. The record is from RNAcentral. Lineage: Eukaryota; Metazoa; Mollusca; Gastropoda; Neogastropoda; Conidae.
GUGUUAUUAUUAAGAUACGAAGUCGGACCUGCCCAGUGAAUUUUAAACGGCCGCGGUACUCUGACCGUGCAAAGGUAGCAUAAUCAUUUGCCUUAUAAUUGAAGGCUGGAAUGAAUGGUUUGACAAGAAUAUACCUGUCUCUUUUAGAUUAUAUAGAAUUUUAUUUCUGGGUGAAAAAGCCCAGAUGCAAUUAAAAGACAAGAAGACCCUAUCGAGCUUUAGAAAAAUUGAUAGAUUUAAUGUAUUUUGAUGUUAAUGAAAAAAAACUAUCAAACACUUUGAUUGGGGCAAUCAAGGAGCAGUUAAAGCCUCCUUUUCAAUAAUAAUAACUUCUACCUGUUUUGAUCCAGAAGUUUUGAUUAAAGAAAUUAGUUACCGUAGGGAUAACAGCAUUAUCUUUUUCAAGAGCCCAUAUCGAAAAAAAGGUUUGUGACCUCGAUGUUGGACCAGAAUAUCCCAAAGAUGCAGAAGUCUUUAAAGGUUGGUCUGUUCGACCAUUAAAAUUCUA